UGUGAAGUAAGGAAAGCCCUAUCUAAGCAAGAGAUGGCUAGUGCUUCAUCCAGCCAAAGAGGUCGAAGUGGUUCUGGAAACUUUGGUGGUGGUCAUGGAGGUGGUUUUGGUGGGAAUGACAACUUUGGUCGUGGAGGGAACUUCAGUGGUCGAGGUGGCUUUGGUGGCAGUCGAGGUGGUGGUGGAUAUGGGCAGUGGGGAUGGCUAUAACGGAUUUGGUAAUGAUGGAAGCAACUUUGGAGGUGGCGGAAGCUAUAAUGAUUUUGGCAAUUACAACAAUCAAUCCUCAAAUUUUGGACCCAUGAAAGGAGAAAAUUUUGGAGGCAGAAGCUCUGGCCCCUAUGGUGGUGGAGGCCAAUACUUUGCCAAACCACGAAACCAAGGUGGCUAUGGUGGUUGCAGCAGCAGCAGUAGCUAUGGCAGUGGCAGAAGGUUUUAAUUACUGCCAGGAAACAAAGCUUAGCAGGAGAGGAGAGCCAGAGAAGUGACAGGGAAGCUACAGGUUACAACAGAUUUGUGAACUCAGCCAAGCACAGUGGUGGCAGGGCCUAUCUGCUACAAAGAAGUCAUGUUUUAGACAAUAUUCAUGUGUAUGGGCAAAAAACUCAAGGACUGUAUUUGUGACUAAUUGUAUAACAGGUUAUUUUAGUUUCUGUUCUGUGGAAAGUGUAAAGCAUUCCAACAAAGGGUUUUAAUGUAGAUUUUUUUUUUUUGCACCCAUGCUGUUGAUUGCUAAAUGUAAUAUUGUCUGAUCAUGAUGCUGAAUAAAUGUGUCUU
This is an RNA transcript of Odobenus rosmarus divergens (Pacific walrus), 777 nucleotides long. It is a transcript of the gene named putative heterogeneous nuclear ribonucleoprotein A1-like 3-like, with no coding region annotated. The transcript has a single exon. Lineage: Eukaryota; Metazoa; Chordata; Mammalia; Carnivora; Odobenidae. The record is from RefSeq and is a predicted model, not a curated record. The annotation marks the transcript as partial.